Molecule: ribosomal RNA, 433 nt
Filed under: uncultured bacterium
Lineage: Bacteria
Description: partial 16S ribosomal RNA
Rfam family: Bacterial small subunit ribosomal RNA
Source: RNAcentral
AACGAACGCUGGCGGCAGGCCUAACACAUGCAAGUCGAGCGGACCUUUCGGGGUCAGCGGCGGACGGGUGAGUAACGCGUGGGAAUAUGCCCUUCUCUACGGAAUAGUCCUGGGAAACUGGGGUUAAUACCGUAUACGCCCUUUGGGGGAAAGAUUUAUCGGGGAAGGAUUAGCCCGCGUUGGUUUAGGUAGUUGGUGGGGUAAUGGCCUACCAAGCCGACGAUCCAUAGCUGGUUUGAGAGGAUGAUCAGCCACACUGGGACUGAGACACGGCCCAGACUCCUACGGGAGGCAGCAGUGGGGAAUCUUAGACAAUGGGGGCAACCCUGAUCUAGCCAUGCCGCGUGAGUGAUGAAGGCCUUAGGGUUGUAAAGCUCUUUCAGCUGGGAAGAUAAUGACGGUACCAGCAGAAGAAGCCCCGGCUAACUCCGUG